GAUGAACGCUAGCGGCAGGCUUAACACAUGCAAGUCGAGGGGUAUAGUAGCAAUACUAGAGACCGGCGCACGGGUGCGUAACGCGUAUGCAAUCUACCUUUUGCAGAGGGAUAGCCCAGAGAAAUUUGGAUUAAUACCUCAUAGUAUAGAACAAUCGUAUGAUUGAGCUAUUAAAGUCACAACGGCAAAAGAUGAGCAUGCGUCCCAUUAGCUAGAUGGUAAGGUAACGGCUUACCAUGGCGACGAUGGGUAGGGGUCCUGAGAGGGAGAUCCCCCACACUGGUACUGAGACACGGACCAGACUCCUACGGGAGGCAGCAGUGAGGAAUAUUGGACAAUGGGCGCAAGCCUGAUCCAGCCAUGCCG
RNAcentral lists this ribosomal RNA (366 nucleotides) under uncultured bacterium. RNAcentral's name for it is "bacterial SSU rRNA". It matches the Rfam family "Bacterial small subunit ribosomal RNA", at positions 28 to 399 of the family's 1533-position model. The record is from RNAcentral.